RNAcentral lists this ribosomal RNA (482 nucleotides) under Fornixtrema liewi. Its description in RNAcentral is "Neopolystoma liewi partial 12S ribosomal RNA". The record is from RNAcentral. Lineage: Eukaryota; Metazoa; Platyhelminthes; Monogenea; Polystomatidea; Polystomatidae.
GGGGUAGUUUUUUGUAUGGGAGUUUAUUGUUUAAUACUUUAAUAAUUGGUGGAACAGUAGGUUUAAUUAAUGGUUUUGGUUUAAACGUAUUAGAGUUUUAUAUUAUGCUUUUUUUUAGACUAGGAUUAGAUACCCUUUUAUAGAAAGGUUUGAUAUUUGUUUUUCUCAGUGUAAACUGAAAGAAGUUGGCAGUUAAUGAUAUUCUGCUGGGGGAUUGUGCGGUUUAAACAGAUGGUCCACUUAUAGAUCUUUUUUUUUGUUGGUGUAUAUCCGGUUUUUAAACAAAACUCAUAUGAGUUUUGUUUAAAAUGUUGUUUUUAUCCAGGUCGAUAUGCUGCUAGUAAAAAAGUAUUGGUGCAAUACAAUUUAAAAAGCGAUGUUUAAACUUAUAUCGUUAUUUAGGACUCAGCAGUAAUAAAAAAUGAUUGUGUUUUUGUGAAGUUGAUUUAGUUGAUGUACACAUUGCCCGUCAUCUUCGAUUU